GAUGAAGAACGUAGCGAAACGCGAUAUCUAGUGUGAAUUGCAGAUUUUCGUGAAUCAUCGAGUCUUUGAACGCACAUUGCGCCCCCUGGUAUUCCGGGGGGCAUGCCUAUUCGAGCGUCGUGGUCACGCUUCAAGCCCGGCUUGAUGAUGGGGAACGCCCUCUCUCGGGGGGGGGCCUCCUUCAAAUGCAACUCCAGACGCCUCGUUGGCUGGGAGCGCAGCAGCAGUGCGCUUCCCCGAGGCGACCGGAUGCCCCUCGUGGGCUCGAGAUUGCUAGACCUCGAAUUAGGCAGGGAUACCCGCUGAACUUAAGCAUAUCAAUAAGCGGAGGA
This 332-nucleotide unclassified non-coding RNA is filed under the name soil metagenome. RNAcentral's name for it is "partial contains 5.8S ribosomal RNA, internal transcribed spacer 2, and large subunit ribosomal RNA". The stretch from base 1 to 120 matches the Rfam family "5.8S ribosomal RNA", at positions 35 to 154 of the family's 154-position model. The record is from RNAcentral.